Molecule: long non-coding RNA, 940 nt
Filed under: Chinchilla lanigera (long-tailed chinchilla)
Lineage: Eukaryota; Metazoa; Chordata; Mammalia; Rodentia; Chinchillidae
Description: lncRNA (ENSCLAG00000027178.1)
Source: RNAcentral
UGACCUUCCGUCUAUAGGCGUCCUUCCCAGCAAAGACUGACUCAAGCCUGGAAGUGGCCUCAGAGAACAGAGACUUCCAACGUCCUAAGGUGAGUCCCCCACACAAGGACAGGCCCCAGGGUCUCUCCACCCUGGGUUUGUUUAGAGCUGCAUGAUUUUGAACAAGGCACUUGUUCUCUGAGCUCGUUUCCUUCCUGUAAGGUGAGGAUGGGAUCAGGUGGGAUGUGUCAAGCUAGGCUGCUUAAGCUAAGCUAGUGACAGCUCACCCCGGAGUCACGGGGCUUUCAACCCCCAAGGCCAGGCGCUCACUCCUGCCUCCUGUCCACUCUACUUUGGUCAGCCAGGACUCUGCUUCAUGUCACCUUCAGCCCAGGCCCCAGGCUGGUGGAGGGGCUGUCGUGAGCGUGCAAUGAGCUCGAUCCACGAGAGCUCUGGAACUGUUUCCUCUGGGGCUGGAGUGUGACUCGGUGGCAGAGCACGCGCUUAGUAUGUGUGACACCUGGGGUCAGUCUAGGAAAAGAAAACCUGUUGCCCUGGAGUUCUGAUUCCCUUGUGUAUUUGCCAUCCACACAGUUCCAGCUCUUCAGAGCCACAUGGGGAGAUGGACUCACCACGGUUCACACAGUGUGGCGGUGGCUGUACAUCUAUGUUUCCAGCCCCAAAUUCAGAAGCUCUUCCACCCGGAGUCCUCUGGAAGGAUUGUUGACUGAGAUUAGUCCACCUCUCCCUUUCAUCACAUGAACGAACAAAAUGACCUCUCCGGCUUUCCUCUUGCCCUCUGGCGGUCAGGAAGCUCAGAGGGAACAGCCGCAUUACAGGCGCCAGAGUUAGAAUAAGGUGCUUCUCCAUUCACGAUGCGGUUGUACCACCACGGAGCUGAAAAAUGGUUAAGCUGAACCAUGGUAAGUGGGGGAGUUUAUAUCUCCUUGUAGCGUUCGUG